Equus caballus (horse) is the source of this 2550-nucleotide long non-coding RNA. NCBI's taxonomy places the organism in Eukaryota, Metazoa, Chordata, Mammalia, Perissodactyla, Equidae. The record is from Ensembl.
UUCUGCACCCCGCAACCCAAGCAAGGGCCCGAGCCGGCGCAGACCCGGCCCCGCGGAGACCACCCCACGGAGCUCUUACGGAGCCCCCACCGAUCUCCCACGGAAUCGCCACUGAGACCUCGAGGAGCCCCCUCUGAGACCCUAAGGAGCCCCAAUGAAAUCCCACAAAUUCCUCACCGAGACCCCACCAAGGACCCACGGAAGACCCUCAAGAAGGACCCAUGAGCCCCCACUAAGACCCACGGAAGCCCGUCGCCGCCCAGCCUGUGAAGGCCCAGCUGCAGGCCGGUCUGCCCAGCCCUGCGCAGUGACCAAUCACGGUGACUCAGCCCUCAGAACCCAGGGCUCCUUGGAAAAAUAAGUCGGCCAUCCAAGGCCACCAAGCCUCUGGAGAUGUCGAGCAUUGAAUGUAUAGUUUCACUUCCCAAACCACCCUGUGGCCUUAGGCAAAUGACCUAACUUCUCCCAACCCCGGUUUCUAGGUUCUGCUUUCUGCAAAGCCAGUAAACCCUCCUGACCCAGCCAUAAGCAGGCUGUCAGUCCUGACAGCCCGUGAUGUCAAGCUCCCUGAAAAUCACAGAGUGAUGGAGAGACAGCAGCCACUAACAUUUCCGGGAGUUCUUCCCUCUCAAGCAGCCCCUUUAGUCUUCCCAGGACCCUGGAAAAGGAGGUUGGACAUGUUUGCACUGGGGUAUGGCUUUCAAAGCACUCGAGGGGGGUGGUCUCAUUUUGUAUGGAUCCCUGGUCAGCAGGCGCCUCUCUCCUAGCCCGUGGCCCCUGUCCUGGCCCUCAGGAUCCGAGUCUGUAAAAUGGAAAUAUGCACUGCCCACUCCACAUGGUGGAGAGAAUUAGAUGCUACGAGCUGGAACAGCAGCUGGCGUUACGUCGGCAUUCAGCACACGUUAUUUAAAAAACAAAUUAAUUGUGAGGUAAUGCAGCUGAAACAGCUUCAUGAACUGUGAACUGGUUUUCAGGAGUGAGGCGGUGUCUCCACUUUCCGGAUGGAAACCUCUGGCGUGGGAGCAUUCUGUGGAAGGACCAGCACAGGGAAGAUGGAGUCAAGGAACCUAGAACUGGGGGGUUCUGUUUUUGAGUGUAGACACCAGGCUUUGGAGAGCCAGGAGCAGCCUUGCCUAGAGUGGAAAAAUGUGGCUUUGGAGUCAGAUGGACCUGGGCUCCAGAGCCACCAGCCGCGAGCCCUGGGUGUGCAUCUGCUUGACCUGCGAGGCCCGGCCUCAGUUGUGAAAUGUGGAAGUAACACCUGGGAGGGUGCUCUGAGAUUUCCUGGGGCGCUUACCUGUUGGGGCUCGGUUGCUGUGCUGGCCCAGGACUACUCAUGCGUCACCAUGCAGCAGGGCCCUGGCCCAAGGAUCUCACUCCAAAGGCUUCUCUUUACGGCACUUGUCACCACCAGACAUGCUGUAUUUUUAUGGGUGUAACUGGUGAUAAAUAUCCAAGUGGACUUGAGAGAACUUGGAAUGCAAUGCCGCCUGCUUCCUGCUCCCGUGGGACCCACGUGACUCUCAUCCCAGAGGAGACACCUGUGCCUCCAACCCGGUGGCUUGCCUCCUCGUCCCUCAGGAUGUAACGACAACGACAAGUUUACUGUGUGAGGUCCCAGGCCGAGCGCCAACGCUGAAUGGUUCAUUCAGACCUCACAUUGUCUGGCACAUUUUCAAGCAUUCUUCCCCGUGUUUUGUAGACAAGAAAACCAAGGCUCCCUGAGGGCCAGGUUAAGUAACUUGUCCAGCUGCUCGCCACGGCGCAAAGAUGAAGCUGAGUUUUGAAAUACCACAUCAUGCGGUAUUUAGAGAAGAAGAUUGAAAAGACUUUUCAGAAGAGGUGGGGAGGGACAAUUUUGACAUUAUCUUUUUUCUCCUUAUCAUAUAAGCAAUGCAUGCUCAUUGUUUGUUUAAUUAAGAAAAAGUCAGAGUUUGAAAAGACAUUAGCAGAGGAGUGGUGGUGAGGUUUCCCCUCAUCUGCCUGUUUCUUUCUAAGAACUAAGGGAAAUGACUGAGCCCUCAGAGGGGAGGGAGGGAGGAGAGAAUGUCCUGGCAUUAAAUCUGAGCGGAGAACAUCGUAACCCUGCAGGGGAGGUGUCCAUCCAUGUGCCGUGCUUCCACACAAGCUUGCAAAGCAUCGGAACCCGUGUUCAUGAUUGGUGGCAGUGGGUCUGAAACAAGCCUGAUUCUCUGGAUUUCUGCAUUUCGGGUGGCCAGGCUCUCUGCACAGCUGUGACAGUGACCCUCCCCCUGACUCAGCUCUAGUUGGACUCCUCUAAGCCUCAAGGCCCCACACUCAGGCUCUGUCUUCCCACAUUUAGCCCAGUUUUAGCGGAAAUCCCCCACCCUCGAUGUUGUCACCUCAGCCUCACUUUAGCAAGAAUCCCGUGGAGUUGGUCUAGCAAGAACGCCCCCAGUCUUGUGUUUCCUCCUAGUAACUUCCCAUCCAUCACCACCCAAUACACACCCUACUCCUUGGCUCUGAAUCCCCACUUGUCCUUAUUGUGUUCAGAGCUGAGCCUCUCAGUCUCUCCCCGCUACUGCAAAA